UGGCGGCGUGGUUAAGACAUGCAAGUCGAGCGCUGAUUACGGGGUAGCAAUAUCUCGUAGUUGGAGCGGCGCAAGGGUGCGUAACACGUGGGUAAUCUGCCAUGAAGUUUGGGAUAACUCGCUGAAAGGCGAGCUAAUACCGGAUGUGACGAUUGGAAGGCAUCUUCUGGUCUUCAAAGUUGGGGACCGUAAGGCCUGACGCUUCAUGAUAAGCCCGCGGCCUAUCAGCUAGUUGGUGAGGUAACGGCUCACCAAGGCUAAGACGGGUAGCUGGUCUGAGAGGACGACCAGCCACACUGGAACUGAGACACGGUCCAGACACCUACGGGUGGCAGCAGUCGAGAAUUUUUCACAAUGGGGAAACCCUGAUGGAGCGACGCCGCGUGGGGGAUGAAUGGCUUCGGCCCGUAAACCCCUGUCAUUCGCGAACAAUGCCUGUGUAUUAACACCAUACAGGUUGAUAGUAGCGGAAGAGGAAGGGACGGCUAACUCUGUGCCAGCAGCCGCGGUAAUACAGAGGUCCCAAGCGUUGUUCGGAUUCACUGGGCGUAAAGGGUGCGUAGGCGGUCGGGUAAGUCUGAUGUGAAAUCUCGGAGCUCAACUCCGAAACUGCAUUGGAUACUAUUCGGCUUGAGGUCUGGAGGGGGGACUGGAAUUCUCGGUGUAGCA
This 669-nucleotide ribosomal RNA is filed under the name uncultured Verrucomicrobiota bacterium. RNAcentral describes it as "bacterial SSU rRNA". It matches the Rfam family "Bacterial small subunit ribosomal RNA", at positions 37 to 680 of the family's 1533-position model. Lineage: Bacteria; Pseudomonadati; Verrucomicrobiota. The record is from RNAcentral.